CACGUAGGUGGGUUUGUAAGUCAGAUGUGAAAGCCUUCUGUUCAACGGAAGAAUUGCAUCUGAAACUGCGAGUCUUGAGUGUAGGAGGGGAGAAUGGAACUUCUGGUGGAGCGGUGAAAUGCGUAGAUAUCAGAAGGAACGCCGGCGGCGAAAGCGAUUCUCUGGCCUAUUACUGACACUCAGUGUGCGAAAGCUAGGGGAGCAAACGGGAUUAGAUACCCCGGUAGUCCUAGCCGUAAACGAUGGGCACUAAGUAGAGGGAAUUACCGAUGUUCUCUCUGCCGUAGCUAACGCAUUAAGUGCCCCGCCUGGGGAGUACGGCCGCAAGGCUAAAACUCAAAAGAAUUGACGGGGGCUCGCACAAGCGGUGGAGCAUGUGGCUUAAUUCGAUGCAACGCGAAGAACCUUACCGGGGCUUGACAUGGUAGAAGUAGGAACCCGAAAGGGUAACGAACGGUAUCCAGUCCGUAACUAUCACAGGUGUUGCAUGGCUGUCGUCAGCUCGUGUCGUGAGACGUUGGGUUAAGUCCCCUAACGAGCGAAACCCUUGUUUUUAGUUACCAGCGGGUUAUGCCGGGUACUCUAGAAAGACUGCCGUCGUCAAGACGGAGGAAGGUGGGGAUGACGUCAAGUCAUCAUGGCCCUUAUGCCCCGGGCUGCACACGUGCUACAAUGGUUGGUACAAACGGAAGCGAAGCCGAGAGGUGAAGCGAAUCCAAGC
This 721-nucleotide ribosomal RNA is filed under the name uncultured Planctomycetota bacterium. RNAcentral's name for it is "bacterial SSU rRNA". It matches the Rfam family "Bacterial small subunit ribosomal RNA", at positions 568 to 1278 of the family's 1533-position model. Lineage: Bacteria; Pseudomonadati; Planctomycetota. The record is from RNAcentral.